AUUGUGUGUGUUGCACUAACUACCCCAAAGUGUUGUGCUAAUAUUGGGAACAGGCAAAUUGUAUCUUUAUAGUUGUAUCCAUAUGAUGUGACAGAAUCAGGUUAAUAGUUCACCAGGUCCAAGGGCUAAAGGGA
Molecule: long non-coding RNA, 134 nt
Organism: Etheostoma cragini (Arkansas darter)
Lineage: Eukaryota; Metazoa; Chordata; Actinopteri; Perciformes; Percidae
Exons: 3
Source: RefSeq, a predicted model, not a curated record